Molecule: ribosomal RNA, 507 nt
Filed under: uncultured Glomeromycotina
Lineage: Eukaryota; Fungi; Glomeromycota
Description: partial small subunit ribosomal RNA
Rfam family: Eukaryotic small subunit ribosomal RNA
Source: RNAcentral
CCAAUAGCGUAUAUUAAAGUUGUUGCAGUUAAAAAGCUCGUAGUUGAAUUUCGGGAUUGGCGCAUCGGUCGUGCCCUACGGGGUAUGAACUGGUGCAGUCAAUUUCUCACCUUCUGGAGAACCGCGAUGUCCUUAAUUGGGUGCCGUGGGGAACCAGGACCUUUACUUUGAAAAAAUUAGAGUGUUUAAAGCAGGCAUUUUUGCUUGAAUAAUUUAGCAUGGAAUAAUAAAAUAGGACGGCAUGGUUCUAUUUUGUUGGUUUCUAGGACCACCGUAAUGAUUAAUAGGGAUAGUUGGGGGCAUUAGUAUUCAAUUGUCAGAGGUGAAAUUCUUGGAUUUAUUGAAGACUAACUACUGCGAAAGCAUUUGCCAAGGAUGUUUUCAUUAAUCAAGAACGAAAGUUAGGGGAUCGAAGACGAUCAGAUACCGUCGUAGUCUUAACCAUAAACUAUGCCGACUAGGAAUCAGACGAUGUUAAUUUUUUAAUGACUCGUUUGGCACCUUACG